AUUGAACGCUGGCGGCAUGCCUUACACAUGCAAGUCGAACGGCAGCACGGGAGCAAUCCUGGUGGCGAGUGGCGAACGGGUGAGUAAUAUAUCGGAACGUGCCCAGUCGUGGGGAUAACGUAGCGAAAGCUACGCUAAUACCGCAUACGAUCUAUGGAUGAAAGCGGGGGAUCGCAAGACCUCGCGCGAUUGGAGCGGCCGAUAUCAGAUUAGGUAGUUAGUGAGGUAAAGGCUCACCAAGCCGACGAUCUGUAGCUGGUCUGAGAGGACGACCAGCCACACUGGGACUGAGACACGGCCCAGACUCCUACGGGAGGCAGCAGUGGGGAAUUUUUGGACAAUGGGCGCAAGCCUGAUCCAGCAAUGCCGCGUGCAGGAUGAAGGCC
Molecule: ribosomal RNA, 386 nt
Filed under: uncultured bacterium
Lineage: Bacteria
Description: bacterial SSU rRNA
Rfam family: Bacterial small subunit ribosomal RNA
Source: RNAcentral